Hemibagrus wyckioides is the source of this 671-nucleotide long non-coding RNA. RefSeq lists it as uncharacterized. NCBI's taxonomy places the organism in Eukaryota, Metazoa, Chordata, Actinopteri, Siluriformes, Bagridae. The record is from RefSeq and is a predicted model, not a curated record. The transcript has 3 exons.
CAAAAGCUUUUAACUUAAUUCUGUUUGUGUGUGAGAUCAAUUAGCUUUUCAACAGAGUCAUUCCUCUGAUUAUUUGGUCCUGUUUUUAAUUAUACAGUGAUGCUGCAGGCUGUGCAAAACCACAGAAAAGCUCACCCUGGAUGAAGAUGACUUAAGGUUUACUGUGCUUGAUGUAGUUGUGGUAGGAGGUGUCACGCAUUGCUUCUCUUUUGUCCCCCACCUCCAGGAUUACCAGCCCUCCAGGCCUGUUGUAAUUAUCCAGUUUUUAAAUGGAAUUGUUAAUCAAGUCAGUGUUUAUCAAAGAAGCCCUGAUCAUCAAUUUAAAGAAUGAAGCAUUGCCCACCUGAAGCUUCCUGGCACACAACCAUGGCAUUCUCUACGCUUGACAGUAAGGUGUUUCUUAAUUAACAGAGGCCCACUUCAUAAGACACCCUAUGCCAUUAAUGCCACAUCACAGCCCUGAUGGUAGGUAUUCAUUAAAAAACACUCAGUGACAAAGCAUCGGCAAAGGCUCUUAUCUGAAGAUAUCACUCAGGGAGUCGAUUUCUGUGUCUCCAGCAAGGUUUUCAAAUAUGUUUCAAUUUUUGAUCAAAUUGUUCAAAUUAUACACUGUAUUUGGGUCAUUCUAAAUGUGUGGUACAAAUUCCAAAGCUAGUAAAGUGUGAAUUGUU